CAUUGGAGCUCUGUCAGUGAAGCUUACACCGGAAGAGAUGGCCGAGCUUGAAUCGAUUGCUUCUGCGGACAAUGUCAAGGGUGGCAGGUACGAUGGAAGCAUGUCUACAUGGGAAAACUCCGACACUCCACCCCUUUCUUCUUGGAAACCUGCCUAGAAGCGUGUCUGCUUCUGUUGCUGCAUCUUUGAUGUGCAGAGGUUGAGCAUUUGCCGCUGAAGUAAUUUGAGUUUAUGUUGUGUGGCUGUUAUAAGUAUGUGUAAUAAGAGAGUGACUGUUUUCAUUUUGUACAUGUGACAUUCACUAUGAUAAGAUUAUGGAUGUGUACUAACCUUACUGGGGAAAGAUCACUCGAUAAACACGAGAGCGAGUUGAAUACGAACUGAGCCUGCCGUGUCGACUUUAUUGGGGUGACUUUUAGAAUCUGAGAAAUCGGGAUUUUGAAGAAUUCAAACUCAGUCGUACAUACUAGAGUGGUAUUCUCCACCAACCAUGAGUUCAAUCUCUUAAGACUGGAUGCUGCACAUAGAUGCAAAGCUUCGCUUUGUGUUUGGUUUGGUAGCGAAGUUAAGGAACAGUAAAAUGUUACCGGAUGUUCUCGCGAAAACGAAGUUGGGGAUAAAAUGCUGGCGCGGAUGAUAUGAGCGUCGGGGAAAUCGAGGGUUUCUUGUUCAAGUUUCACCACCUACGGUUCAUGAGCUUUUAUGUAGCUCGAUACCUUCGCUCAAUGCCUCUGCAUUAUUAUAAAACAGUCGGAGAUAUUGCGCAAGUUUCCUAAAAUUAAAAACGACACUUCUAUUGUUUUUUAUUUGGAGUUAGAGUGGUGCAAUGUUGUUUUGUUUUGGUUUAGGAAAAUAACGCAAAUAGUCACUACACUUUGGUCCAAUGUGUUAUGUUCUUACUGAAUUUUUAACUUGUUUAAUAUGGUUGUCGAGCUUUUUGUAUAUGUUUAAUUUAAAUCCUAGGCUAGAUAAAUCCAAUGAUGCCGUGUUUGGUCGGUUCGAAGAUCGUUGCUAUAUGGGAUAAUGAUAGGAUAAAAAUCCCAUCUAAUAUUUCUUGACGUCUGGAUAUAACAUGAUUCAAAUAAUUUUUUUUUUAAACGAGUGUUUGAUUUGUAUAAUUAAAAUUAAAAAUAAACCAUGGAAGUCGUGAAUACUAUUCAUCCUUUCACAAUCUUCAUCCAUAUCAAGCACCCCCGUUCCAUGUGACUUCAAGGACGCUCGCUCCUUCUGCAACACCCCUUUCGCUGCCCUUGAUCAACUUGAUGGAUUACGCUCGCUCUGCCUUUUGACUUCGCCACAUUGAGAGGCCCUUGGGUUUGAGUUCUCCGCUGGUCUAGCCAUCUUUAUUUUCAACGCCUUUUCCUGCGAUGAAUCCAUCCCCCUCGACGAGUGUGAAUGCCGCGUUGAUUCCCUGUUACCGUGCUCCGACUUGUUCAGUCGCUUCAACAGCUUCCCCCGAGACAGCGUGCGGAUCCGGUUUAUGAGUGGUAGCAGCAUCGGUACUACUCGCUCCGAGUGACGUGGUUGAGGAGCUCUAUCACCUUGGCUGCCGCCUCUUUCGGAUCAUCUUCUUCACAGAGGAGGUGUCCAGCUUUGAUCGGGAUCACAAAUUUCCCUACUAAAAUGAAGUUGAGUGACACAAGAAAGAGGCAGGGCUGACGAGCUCCGCGAUACUCAUGCUCAUGCUCUAAUUUUGUGGUGGUCAUUUUAGCGAGACAAAUUGGAACAAGAGAGAGAUGAUGGUGGCACUGGUCAAAAGCGAGGAUAAGCUAUAAAAAGCGCCCCGCCGCCCGGGGGGGGGGGGGGGGGGGGGGGGGGGGUCAGUUUUUCAAAUUUCACAUAUUUUAUCUGGAUUUAUAUCACUUUCUAGAUGUGAUUUUUUAUCCGUGCUAUAUCCUAAUUUCACAUUACUCUAGACACCAUAUAGGAUUAAACUUAUCAUAUUAGAGUUUUAUCCAGCCCUUCAAAUGCAGUCUUAUGAGAUAGAAUGCAAUGAUAUAAUCUGUGAACUAAAUUUAAACAUUUAUUAAAAGUUUACGAACGGAAUUUCACAUUUUGAUUGUUAAGAUGCAUGAGUGAGUUAUGUUAAAAUAAUCACACAAUAUAUUGAUAGCUUUAAAAAUGGGCUUUCUCUUGGUGAUGACGUUGAUCCAUAUAGAGAAAUUAAUGAGAGGGUUUAUUUGGCCUAACUAAAUGGGAGGCUAUAUCAAUGGGAGGUUUUUCAUUGUAACAUUCCCUUGUGCUUGGAAUUUGUUUUUUAGUAAAGGAUUUUAUUAGCGUAAUAAUAGUCUUUGGGUUAUUAUGUGAAUAACAAUUUAUUGUGAGUCACAAAUUUUUUAAAGUAAUGAACCCCAUAAUAAUUUCAAUUAUUUGUUACUUGAUUUUUUGUAGUUUAGAAUAAAAAUUAUCACCAAGUUAUUUCUUUUUAACAAAUAUAUUGCUCUAACUGUUGUUUUCAAUUAAGUUUGCAUCGGAGAAGAGAUUAUUUUGUUUUGCUACGCUUGUCGGAUAUUGCACAGGAUAUUGUCAUUUUCUUAGCACUAGCAACGUUGCGUUCAGACAAGGCGGCAUGGAAUUAUUUGCUCAGCUGCACAUCACACGACCAUACAUUCAUGGACUGUUCCUCAGGAAAGCAUAUAGACAUGUGGCAGAUGCAGAACAUUUCACGAGAUUAAAAAAAAGAAAAUAAUUUUUAAAAAACAAUACUUUCGACUUCAAAACGUGCCAAUCGAACGCCUGCUACUCCCGCCUAUAAAGCUCGGCUCACCCAACGGCUUCGUUGUCGUCUCGAACUGUCCAUUCUCCAUUCUCUGUUCUUGCAUCGACCUCGAGCUAGACGAUGGUGGCAAUGGCGUCGUCAGACGGUGAGGAGGAUCAAGUUGGGGUCGUAGGGUCUCAAGGUCUCGGCGCAGGGGCUGGGCUUGCAUGGGCAUGUUGGAAGAUAUGCGGAUUGCCUGAUUUGAUUUGAUCUUAAUUGAUCAUGAUUAAUCACGAUCUUCAUGUAUAUGUAAAUUAAAAAUUAGAUCUAGAUCUCGAUUGAUAAUCCAGAUCAUUUACUUCCUUAUUCAAGAUAGAGCUUGUAUUAUAUCUCUGCAAAAUUGUACAUUCAGAUUGUAAUAGUGAUAAUACAGAAAAAUCUCCCCACAUCGAUUCCCAUUUUCCUCUCCAAACUUCAUCCGUUCUUCCUUCACUCUUGCCUUCUUUCAUGGUAUCAGAGCAGCUUUGAUCUCUGACUCGCUUCCGUUCCAAACCACUGCUGAAGAAAAUUCUCAACCUGCAAAAGGGUUGAUCUUUCGGCAUUAGGCAUACUCUCGAAGGAAGAAAUUUAAAUUAUCUUACUAUGGCCUCUCCGCAGGACUCCAGUCUGGCUGCUGACGACAGGACCACCGAAGAAAGUAGUCCUCAAGCUCCACAGAUCCAGAAUCUCCCUGCAGUAAUACCAGUAUCCACCCAACCCCAGCAGUGGCGGCCCACGCAGGCUCAGUUUCAAUUGGGGCAACCCACGACGGGUCAACCAUACUAGUGGAUCCCCUAUCCACUCUAUUUUGGGCCAAGCCCAAAUUUCUCAUCGCCUUUUUUCGUGGGCCACCAGAAUCACAAUGGAGGCCCGCCAGCCACGAAUGGGGCAAGCCCAUCCAUCGCGAGAGAGCAGACGGGCGGUUCAAGCGAAUCGGGUACGGGGCAUAAUCCCUACCCGGGACAUGUCAAUGCGGGGUAUCUAGUUGGAUUGAGCGAAUCGGGUCAAGGGACGAAUCCCUACCCGAAUUUCGCACCGGGUUUUCUGUCCAUUCCAGCGGCGGCGUUCACUGGGCGACUAGAAAUAGGCGAUCCUCUGUUUGUCUCCACCGCUGACGGAUCGGAGCUUUGACUGAUAAACCAGCAACUAACCGGACUAGAGACCUAUUCGAAGUGGUCACAGGAGCUCCGGCGGGCAUUGGUGACAAAAGACAAAGACGGAUUUCUCGAUGGGACAAUUUCCAUCCCCUCCGAUGAACGCCUAGCCGGACACUGGCGGAAAUGCAAUCAACUCGUCCGAAUGUGGAUCAGAAAUUGCAUAUCCCCAGAAGUCAUGGCUGGGCUUCCACCCACAGAGGAUGCCAAAACCAUGUGGGAAAACAUUCGAGAAAUAUACGGUAAAAUGGAUCAAGCAAAAGUUUUUAAUCUUAUGCAGGAAAUUAGCGAACUCAAACAGGGAAAUUCGACGGUCACGGCCUGCUUCAACAGGCUAUCGUCCCUCCUGAAUCAACUCGAAGCAGUAGAAGAAAAGCUCGAAGGGCCAGAAUCUACCCUCAAGCAGUACAAACAAAUCAAAGAGAGAGAAAAAGCCACGCGAUUCUUGCUGAUUUUAAACGAAUCGUACCUCACGUUUCGGUCACAGAUCCUUGUCAUGGAUCCCAUGCCACCGAUCGGACGUAUUUACAAACUGGCGAUGCAGGAGGAGAGUCAGCGACUCACAAUCACGAACAACGGUGAGAGCAUCGCUCUGGCUGCCCGCGGAGAGGGGAGAACCCUAACCCUAGCUCGUGAAAAUGAAAAGAAAAGCCCUUUAGGGUUCGACGAGCUCGAUUCGCGCGGGCUUAAAAGGGAUGGGAUGAACGGCCAGGAUUACAUGCAAGGAUCGAGCGGCUUAGAUUACUCCCGAAAAUAUGACGGCCCAGAUUACGCAUGGAGAUCCGACGGUCGUCAAGGAAUCGAAAUUGCGCCUGGAUUGGACGGUGGACAGCAGAUCGCGAUCAAAGGAACGGACGGCCAGAUCUUCACCACGUCAUCAAAGAAUUUCGCAAAUUUUUUUAAAGGAAAGGGGUAAAUUUUUUUGCGAUUAUUGCAAACGUACUAAUCAUACCAUUGACAGUUGCUGGAAAUUACACGGGAAGCCGGGAGAAAAGGAGAAAAAAAUUUCCACAGCUUAUCAAGUCACUGGACCAGCUGGUCCAAAAAUUGACCAGCCAAUCUCAUAUGGUCAAUAUCAGCAACUCAUGCAAAAACUACAGAAGAUGGAAAUUUCCAACAAAGGGGGCAAUUUCUCAGGUAUUUCACAUUGCCUAAUUAAUUCCAUUUCCAGGAAGGCGUGGAUUAUAAUUCUGGGGCAAGUGACCAUAUUAUACGCGACAAGGGAUUUUUUUUUCAAAUAUAAAUGAAAGUUUGAAUUUUCCUGUCUCCGUACAAUUACCCAACGGAAAUGUUACUCAUGUCAAAGUGAUAGGAACAGUGAAUCUCAGUCCUCAGAUUAUUCUCUAGAAUGUGCUAUAUGUCCCAGAAUUCCAAUUCAACCUCAUAUCUGUGUCUCAAGUCUGCAAAGAGAACUCAUGCCGGGUAAUAUUCAAUGCUGACACAUGUUUAUUUCAGGCCCUUUCGACUGGAAGACAGAUGGACUUGGGUAAUCUUUCUGAAGGACUCUAUUUCUGGACGAGUUUUCCAAGUAAUUUCAAUUUUCCAUGCAAUUCCUUGAAUAAAAAAUCAUUGUGUAAUUCAACUGCCAAUGAUAGAAAUUUGACUAUGCAUAUGAGAUUGGGUCACAGUGCUUCAUUUUCAUAUCAUGAAUGUCUUAUAUGUCCCCUUGCAAAGCAAUCUCGCACACCAUUUUCUUCUAGUACUUCACGGACUAGUCAAAUAUUUGCAUUACUUCACGUGGACAUUUGGGGACCUUAUCAUACAGUCAAUCAUGAUGGCUCCCGUUAUUUUCUUACGAUAGUAGAUGACUAUUCUCGGGCAACAUGGAUCUUCCUAAUACAAUAAAAAAAUUAGGUCUAUUCUCACCUGAAAAAUUUCAUUAUGCUAUCUAAGAACCAAUUCAGGAAAUCCAUUCAGCGGAUUCGCACAGAUAACGGGAGAGAAUUCUUCAGUCAUGAAUGCUCCCAGUUAUUCAAUUCUCAUGGUAUUCGACACGAAAGUUCCUGCAUUUACUCACCACAACAAAAUGGAGUGGUUGAAAGAAAGCAUCGCCAUCUACUGGAAGUGGCUCGUGCCUUGAAAUUUCAAGCAUCAAUUCCAGAAAGAUAUUGGGGUGACUGUGUCACCAUAGCAGCUUAUCUUAUUAAUAGAAUGCCUACUCGGAUUCUUAAUGGACAGAUGCCAUUCGAGCUGUUAUUUGGGAAGAAACCGGACUUGAAUCAUCUCAAGAUCUUCGGAUGUCUCUGCUAUGCUGCAAUCAUGGGGCCUCGAGAUAAAAUGAGCCCAUGUGCGCGGCGAUGCGUCUUUAUGGGAUAUCCCAAUCUCCAGAAGGGGUAUCGGGUGCUUGAGAUUUCCACAGGAGAAUUCAUAGUAAGUCAUGAUGUCAUUUUCCAUGAAACUACUUUUCCAUUUUAUGAAGGGGAAUCUUCACAUGGAGAUCCAAAGAUAACUUCCAGCCAUCAUAAUUUUCUCAAUGAUGAAGCACCAUACCGGGAUCUUUCCUAUGUACCAAUAGUACAGCCGAGGGAUCCUAUUCUUCCUACAGUCCCAGUUCUACAAGAUUCUAAUGGAAAUUCGAAUUCUUCAGAACAUAUUCAGGGAGAUAUCUUGGAGGAACCCAUUGCUGAUGCAGAAGUUGAUGACACUACAACAACUUCAUUACCAGCAACAUCACAGCCCACCACCGAAGCUGGACAUCCUAGGAGGUCUGAACGAGCUACAAGACCACCAACCCGGACGAAAGAUUAUGUCUGUACUACUCACAACUCUCCAAGUAUUCAGUAUCCAGUCUCUUCAUAUGUUUCCUUUGAUAGAUUGUCUCAAGAACAUAGAUGUUGUAUUAGUCGAUUGUUUGAAGAGAAAGAACCGUCCAGUUAUAAAGAAGCCUCCAAUAACCCAAAAUGGCAAGAGACCAUGAAGGCAGAAUUGAAGGCCCUUACUGAUAAUCAUACAUGGGAUCUUGUUCCAUUACCAGCUCAUCGUAAACCAAUUGGAUGCAAAUGGGUUUACAAAAUCAAGUAUCGGGCUGAUGGCUCCAUUGAACGGUACAAGGCAAGAUUGGUAGCUAAGGGGUUCACCCAAAGAGAAGGUUUUGACUACCACGAGACGUUCUCACCAGUUGCCAAAGAUGUUACAGUCCGUUCAUUCUUAGCUGUUGCUGCCAUCAAUGACUGGCACCUACACCAGAUGGAUGUCCAUAAUGCUUUUCUCCAUGGCAAUCUAGAUGAAGAGAUCUACAUGAAUAUUCCUCAAGGCAUACAGAGACAGGGGGAUAAUAAGGUGUGUCGUCUCCGUAAAUCCCUUUAUGGAUUAAAACAGGCAUCCGGACAAUGGUAUGCUAAAUUUGCCAGUGCUCUUACAACAGCAGGCUUCAAGCAAUCCAAGCAUGAUUAUGCUCUGUUCUAAAAAACUAAAGGUAUGUCAUCUAUCUAUUUGAUGAUUUAUGUCGAUGACAUACUUGUUAUGGGAAAUGAUAGAGCCUCUAUAGAGAAUUUCAAGGAAUAUUUGCAUGCUACCUUCCAUAUUAAAGACUUAGGAGCACCAAAAUAUUUCCUUGGAAUCGAAGUUGCUCGAUCUGACAAGGGAAUUUCCCUUAGUCAGCGGAAGUUCAUUCUAGAAAUCAUAUCAGAAGUAGGUCUAUUAGGAUGCAAGCUAGCUGUAAUUCCUAUAGAGCAAAACACUAAGUUGACCAUCGCAGACUAUGAUAAGGGAAUAUUUCGAAAUGAUGAUUCCUUACUCAGUGAUCCGUCAGGCUAUCAAAGACUUGUUGGGAAACUUAUAUACCUGACAAUGACUAGACCUGAUAUCUUAUAUGCGGUUCAGACACUUAGCCAGUUUAUGCAUCAACCAAAGCGUUCUCAUUUGGAUGCAGCCUUAAAGGUCGUUAAAUAUCUCAAGAAAUGUCCGGGGCUAGGGAUACUUCUCUCUAAGGAAUGUGACAUGAGGAUGACAGCAUAUUGUGAUGCAGACUAUGCAACAUGUCCGAUUAGUCGAAGAUCUGUUACUGGAUAUUGCAUUAAAUUGGGAGGAUCUCUUCUAUCUUGGAAAACCAAGAAACAAGCUACUGUGUCUCUGUCCUCAGCCGAAGCAGAAUAUCGAGCUGUGGCCAAGGCCACUUGUCAAGUAGUUUGGAUGCGAGGAUUACUCAAGGAUCUUGGAGUAGAAGUGCAAGGACCCACAAGGUUAUAUUGUGAUAAUGAUACAGCUCUUAAACUUGCAACUAAUCCUAUAGUACAUGAAAGAACCAAGCAUAUAGAAGUGGAUUGUCACUUCACACGGGAAAAGAUCCAGGAAGGAGUAAUUGAGACGAGGAAUUUGGACAACGGAGCAACCAGUAGACUUGUUCACCAAGCCCCUAUGUCAGAGGCAACAUGCAUAUCUAUUAAAAAAGCUAGGCGUCUUGGACAUCUACAAGCCACCAGCUUGAGGGGGAGUGUUGGAAGAUAUGUGGAUUGCCUGAUUUGAUUUGAUCUUAAUUGAUCAUGAUUAAUCACGAUCUUCAUGUAUAUGUAAAUUAAAAAUUAGAUCUAGAUCUAGAUUGAUAGUCUAGAUCAUUUACUUCCUUAUUCAAGAUAGAGCUUGUAUUAUAUCUCUGCAGAAUUGUACAUUCAGAUUGUAAUAGUGAUAAUACAGAAAAAUCUCCCCACAUCGAUUCCCAUUUUCCUCUCUAAACUUCAUCCGUUCUUCCUUCACUCUUGCCUUCUUUCAGGGCAUAUCUACUUUGCCGGCCCUCCCAAGCCCAACCCCGACACGAUCGAGCUUGUCCACCACGCCGUUGAAUCUGGCGUUGCCUUCCUCGACACCUCCGACAUCUAUGGCCUUAACGCCAAGGAAGUCCUCCUUGGAAAGGUCGGUAUUUAUUUUGUAGAUAUAAUUGAAGAUCUUGAUCGUGACGCCAAUCCUAAUUGCGGACUAAUUGAUUUGGUCAAUUUGUGAUUGUUUAGUGAAUAUGGAAAUUUUUGUAAUUCUUUAUAUAUUAUUUCAUUUUUUCUCUUUCAUUCUUACACUAUAAAUAGACCAAUGAACUAAUAUACAGAUCAAUCAAUAUACAACAAAAUUUUCUUCAUUUUCUCUUUUGUUUUCUAUUAUGUUAUCAGUGUCAUUCUUCCUCGCCUAGCUUCCCAUAUCUUAGAGUUGCCUUUCUUUUUUUCUUUGUUUUUUUUUUUUUUUUGGUUAUUGCAAGUCCUCAUCCUGCAAUACAAAUCAGCAAAUCGAUUAGGAAUUCAAUUUUUUUUUUCAAUACCAAGGCAAAAAAUAAGAACACUGAGAGCUCCAUGAUAGAGGAGACACCUACCUCACCUCAAAAUCAAGCCCCAUCGCCGUCGGAUUCGAUUAUGAUUUGGGACAAUAUAUUUUAAUCAUUUCGAGAUAAUCUUUAACUGAUCAUGCUCUUCCAGAUACACAGCAAUUGCGCACUUCCAAAUGCUUAUUAUGUCAAGUAACAUGACAAUCUGAUGGCAUGCAACGCAACCAAUUUUGCACUCGUUGAUGUAGAAUUUGGCGUUAAAAGGAAAAUGAUGGUUGCUCGUAUGCUCUCUGCUUAGACAUUGCUUUAUGUUAUGAAGUACCUACCAAGGCUGCGGCCAGAGAACUUGGCUAAUGCAAAGUUAUUCGACCAAGUGAAUGAAAUUGCACAAAGAAAGGGAUGCACCCCAUUGCAGUUAACCCUCGCCUGGGUACACCACUGGAGUGAUGACGUUUGCCCGAUUACCGGCACGAUCAAGAUCGAGAAUUUCAACCAGAACAUUGGAGCUCUGUCAGUGAAGCUUUCGCCAGAAGAGAUGGCCAAGCUCAAAUCGAUUGCUUAUACGGACAAUGUCAGGCGUGAGAAUUAAAACCACAUUUGAUACUAAAUUAUGCCUAGGUAGGAAUUCAAAACUCCACCUCCCGCUUUUCAUGUGGGAAGGUUGGCCCCACCUCGCGCUUAUGGAAAGAGUAAUCACGAAGACAUCACAAUAGUUCAAUUGACGUGAGCAGGUACGUCUUCCCUACAUGGUAAGGGUCGUCACUGGGCGUGCAAUUGACGUAAGCACGUGCGUCUUCACAGCCACUACCGCUCCCCUCCUACUCAUCGUAGCUUCUGCCACUACCCUCCUAUAAAUCUCGGCUCGCCCGACGACUUCGCCAUCGUCUCGGUGCAGUGCAGGGAACGAUCGAGCUCGAGCUAGACUACGGCAAUGGCGGCAUCGACGACGACGGUGAGGAGGAUCAAGCUGGGGUCGCAGGGCCUGGAGGUGUCGGCGCAGGGGCUGGGCUGCAUGAGCAUGUCCGCCUUCUACGGCCCUCCCAAGUCCGAGCCCGACAUGAUCGCCCUCAUCCACCACGCCGUCGGCUCCGGCGUCACCUUCCUCGACACCUCCGACUUCUACGGUCCUCACACCAACGAAAUCCUCCUCGGAAAGGUCGUUCUCUCAGUCUCUCUUUUGCCUCUGCAUGAAUUAUAUAUGCUUAUGGUUUUACGGAACUUAGCUUCAUCGAGCAGGAUGCUCUGAUCCUGCGCCUUGGUUUUCUGAUUUCGGGGUUGAUUUUGAGCAGGCACUGAAGGGAGGGGUGAGGCAGAAGGUGGAAUUGGCGACCAAGUUCGGAAUCAGAUUGGCGGACGGGAAGAGGGAGAUCCAGGGCGAUCCGGCGUACGUGAGGGCUGCUUGCGAGGCCAGCUUGAAGCGGCUCGACAUCGAUUGCAUCGACCUCUACUACCAGCACCGUAUCGACACUCGCGUCCCCAUUGAAGUCACUGUAUGGAUCCCUUAUCAAACUUUCACCUCGCUUGAGACUUUCUCUGAGCCAUACGAUGCAUCGUCAUGUUGUUACAAGUUUGUUGAAUUUUGUUAAAUGACACUUAAGUUCAGCUGAUAGCAGAGUUCAAGAUGCGGCACGGUGUUGUUCAAGGGUUGUGGAAUUUAGUAGUUUAGUGGCUUGAGUUUUCGUUUUGUGGGAAUCUUUUACAAGUUAAGGGUCAACAAGCAUGGAAAUUAUUCGAAAUCUUCCUUUGAGAUGAAAGUGCUCCGGGGUUCAUCCUGAAUUUAUAUACGGGAAUCACAUAUAAAGUUGUUCCUGGACUUUAUACGGAGACAUUUGAUUCUUGACAUAUUGUGAAAUAUGACAAGUACUUGGAAUACUUCUUUUAUUUGCUCUCUUCUGUGAGAGAUUCAAGAAAUCUACCUCCGUUAACUCAAUUCCUUGUGGGUUUUUUGUCGCAUUGAGAUGCAUGAUAAUUGAGGGAUCUAGACACAAAAAGCUAAUGACAAAAAUAAUUUUCUGGAUCUUAACAUGUAAGAUCUUGAUGUUGUUGUUCUGUCAUGUGAAUAUGCACAGAUCGGAGAGCUAAAGAAGCUCGUUGAAGAGGGUAAGAUAAAGUACAUCGGUUUAUCCGAGGCCUCUGCAUCAACAAUCAGAAGAGCACAUGCUGUUCAUCCCAUCACAGCAGUGCAAUUGGAGUGGUCGCUUUGGUCCAGAGAUGUGGAGGCGGACAUCGUUCCAACGUGCAGGUAGGAUAUCACUCCGUUAAUUGUUUAUGCAGCAACAACAGCUUCCUUCUGACUCUGCUUUUCCUUUAAAAUGUUGACUAGGGAGCUUGGCAUUGGAAUUGUUGCCUACAGUCCUUUAGGACGAGGAUUCUUUUCUGUUGGCUCCAAGUUGGCGGAGAAUUUCUCAAAGGAUGACUUCAGACAGGUCUGUUUCUGCUGGUCGACAUAAUUAGAUGCUCACAGUGACUGUCAUUCUCAUUGAAGUGCUGGAAACCUGUUCUUGUGGUAUAAAGAAAAGUUUCUGGAUGGGAUGAAUAAAACUUGGUGACACAAAUGCAUCACGUUCUUAUAUGUCUUCAAUCCAGCACUCGCCAGACAUACUACCUCUCUCGAUUCUAGAUAAAUGUAAAAUCACAAGUAAUGGCUUUAGUGAGCCUGAAAGAGGUAGGUUCCCGGAUUCUCAUUCUUUUGGGAAUGAAUACAUAUAGGUUUAUAUGUAAGUUGCUCUGUUUCCCAGCCUUCCCAACAUUUGCUUAUCACUAUCCUUUCCCCACUUUCCACCCACCCUUUUUCUCUCAUCUUUCUUCACAAGAUUAGCGAUAUUUCCUCGAAAUAACUGACGCCAGUAUCGGGCUCUGGCCUUCCGUCCUUUUUCAUUCUCAUCUUUCUUCACAAGAUAAACUAUAUCUUGACACAACCAUUUCUUGAGUGAGGACUCACGACACCCUUCUUAUGAGAGUUUUGGAUCAAGUUCCCAUCUGACAUAAAGCCAAUUGUGUAUUACUCCCUGCCAUUAGCGUUUGACUAGCGAUAGCGCUGGGCAAGUGAAGUAGCUAUUUUUCUUUGUAGCUAAAAGAGCUCUGCGUCUGAUAACAUUCUUCUACACAUCAUCUACAUUUCUGAUUUUUUAUUUUAUGUGUGACUAAUGGUAUCAUCACACGUACAAAACUUAGAUUGUCGAGUUUGUUUCUGUUUUCACAUCCUACAUCAAGCCCAUCAGCCUUGUGUGGUAGUUGCUAGAUCACUUCGCUUGACGUUUCUAAUGCUUAUGAUUUGGGACAUGAUAUUUUAAUCAUUUCAAGAUUAUUUAUAACUGAUCAUGCUUAUCCAGAUAGACAACGAUUGCACACUUCUAAAUGCUUAUUAUGUCAAGUAACAAGACAAUCUGAUGGCAUGCAAUGCAACCACUUUUGCACUUGUUGCUGUAGAAUUUAGCCUUAAAAGGAAAAUGAUAAUUGCAAUUGCUUUCUGCUGAGACAUUGCUCUAUGUUAUGCAGUAUCAUCCAAGGUUCCAGCCAGAGAACUUGGCUCACAACACGAAGUUAUUUGACCGAGUGAAUGAAAUUGCGCAAAGAAAGGGAUGCACCCCAUCUCAGUUAGCCCUGGCCUGGGUACACCACCAUGGUGACGACAUUUGCCCGAUUCCCGGCACAACCAAGAUCGAGAAUUUCAACCAGAACAUUGGAGCUCUGUCAGUGAAGCUUACACAGGAAGAGAUGGCCGAGCUUGAAUUGAUUGCUUCUGCGGACAAUGUCAAGGGUGGCAGGUAUGAUGGAAGCAUAUCUACAUGGGAAAACUCCGACACUCCACCCCUUUCUUCUUGGAAACCUGCCUAGAAGCGUGUCUGCUUCUGUUGCUGCAUCUUUGAUGUGCAGAGUUUGAGCAUUUGCCGCUGAAGUAAUUUGAGUUGAUGUUGUGUGGCUGUUAUAAGUAUGUGUAAUAAGAGAGUGACUGUUUUCAUUUUGUACAUGUGACAUUCACUAUGAGAAGAUUAUGGAUGUGUACUAACCUUACUGGGGAAAGAUCACUCGAUAAACACGAGAGCGAGUUGAAUAUGAACUGAGCCUGCCUUGUCGACUUUAUGGGGUGACUUUUAGAAUCAAUUGGGAUUUUGAAGAAUUCAAACUCAGUCGUACAUACCGCUGGAAAUAUGGCUUCGAAAUUGGGUAGAACAAUGAAAUCGGAUCGAGUAAAAUAACUCGGACUUUGAGGCGCGAUAUCACUUUCUUUAAGGAUUUAUUUACCCCACAACGUUGCUAAUGGUCACCAGCAAAAAUCCUCCAGGAUACAACAAAGUCUCGGAUGAGAAUACUAGAUAGCAAUUCAAGUAUUUCUCCAGGGUCUCUCUAAGAAACAAUCGAAAAAUUGGAUGCUGUUUUUCAGAAAGGAAUACUCGAAAAUGACACUCUUUUUCUUUCCGAAAAUGAUAGAUAUAUAUAUGAAACAGUCUUGCNNNNNNNNNNNNNNNNNNNNNNNNNNNNNNNNNNNNNNNNNNNNNNNNNNNNNNNNNNNNNNNNNNNNNNNNNNNNNNNNNNNNNNNNNNNNNNNNNNNNUUUUUUUUUUUUAUUUCUUAUUUUUGUUCCAAAGUUGCUCUCACAAUAAAAAAAAAAAAGACCAGAAUAAAAGUAUAAACAAAUGAGUUUCUGUUCUUUUUUGGUUCUCUAGAACAAAAUAAUAAAAAUUUAUAUUUCGGGAAAAAAAAUAAUUUUAAAUGAACACACCCUAAGAUAUCUUUUGUAUUCCGGGGAAGUAGUUCAAUUGACGUGAGCCCGUGCGUCUUCCCUACAUGGGAAGGGUCGUCGCUGGGUCUCAUCUGACCUAAGCAAGCGCGUCUUCACAGCUAUUACCGCUCCCCUCCUACACUUCGUAGCUACCGCCACUCCCCUCCUAUAAAUCUCGGCUCGCCCGACGCCUUCGCCAUCGUCUCGGUGCAGUGCAGGGAACGAGCGAGCUCGAGCUAGACGACGGCAAUGGCGGCUUCGACGACGACGGUGAGGAGGAUCAAGCUGGGGUCGCAGGGCCUCGAGGUGUCGGCGCAGGGGCUGGGCUGCAUGAGCAUGUCCGCCUUCUACGGCCCUCCCAAGUCCGAGCCCGACAUGAUCGCCCUCAUCCACCACGCCGUCGGCUCCGGCGUCACCUUCCUCGACACCUCCGACGUCUACGGUCCUCACACCAACGAAAUCCUCCUCGGAAAGGUCGUUCUCUCAGUCUCUGUUUUGCGUCCGCAUGAAUUAUAUGUGCUUAUAGUGUUACGGAAUUUGGCUUCAUCGAGCAGAGUGCUCUGAUCCCGCGCCUUGGUUUUCUGAUUUCGGGGUUGAUUUUGAGCAGGCACUGAAGGGAGGGGUGAGGCAGAAGGUGGAAUUGGCGACCAAGUUCGGAAUCAGCUUCGCGGACGGGAAGAGGGAGGUCCGGGGCGAUCCGGCGUACGUGAGGGCGGCUUGCGAGGCCAGCUUGAAGCGGCUUGACAUCGAUUGCAUCGACCUCUACUACCAACAUCGCAUCGACACUCGCGUCCCCAUCGAAGUCACUGUAUGGAUCCCCCAUCAAACUUUCACCUCGCUUGAGACUUUCUCCGAGCCAUAUGAUUAGUUGCUAAGUUAGAUUGGUGUUGAUGAUGCAUCGUCAUGUUGUUACAAGUUUGUUGAAAUUUGUUAAAUGACACUUAAGUUCGGCUGAUAGCAGAGUUCAAGAUGCGGCACGUUGUUGUUCAAGGGGUUGUGGAAUUUAGUAGUUUAGUGGCUUGAGUUUUCGUUUUGUGGGCAUCUUUUACAAGUUAAGGGUCAACAAGCAUGAAAAUUAUUCAAAAUCUUCCUUUGAGAUGAAAGUGCUCCAGGGUUCAUCCAGAAUUUAUAUACGGGAAUCACAUAUAAAGUUGUUCCUGGACUUUAUGUGGAGACAUUUGAUUCUUAACAUAUUGUGAAAUAUGUCGAGUACUUGGAAUACUUAUUUUAUUUGCUCUCUUCUGUGAGAGAUUCAAGAAAUCUACCUCCGUUAACUCAAUACCUUGUGACUUUUUUGUCGCAUUGAGAUGCAUGAUAAUAGAGGGAUCUAGACGCAUAAAAAGCUAAUGACAUGCAUAAUUUUCUGGAUCUUAACAUGUAAGAUCUUGAUGUUGUUGUUCUGUCAUGUGAAUAUGCACAGAUCGGAGAGCUAAAGAAGCUCGUUGAAGAAGGUAAGAUAAAGUACAUCGGUUUAUCCGAGGCCUCUGCAUCAACAAUCAGAAGAGCACAUGCUGUUCAUCCCAUCACAGCAGUGCAAUUGGAGUGGUCGCUUUGGUCAAGAGAUGUGGAGGCAGAGAUCGUUCCAACGUGCAGGUAGGAUAUCACUCUGUUAAUUGUUUAUGCAGCAACAACAGCUUCCUUCUGACUCUGCUUUUCCUUUAAAAUGCUGACUAGGGAGCUUGGCAUUGGAAUUGUUGCCUACAGUCCUUUAGGACGAGGAUUCUUUUCUGUUGGCUCCAAGUUGGUGGAGAAUAUCUCUAAGGAUGACUUCAGACAGGUCUGUUCCUGCUUGUCAACAUAAUUAGAUGCUUACAUCAACUGUCAUUCUUAUUGAAGUGCUGGAAACCUGUUCUUGUGGUAUAAAGAAAAAGUAUCUGGAUGGGAUGAAUAAAACUUGGUGACACGAAUGCUUUGUGUUCUUAUAUGUCUUUAAUCCAGCACUUGCCAGACAUCCCACCUCUCUUGAUUCUAGAUAAAUGUAAAAUCACAAGUAAUGGCUUUAAUGAGCCUGAAAGAGGCAGUUUUCUGGAUUCUCGUGCUUUUGGGAAUGAAUACAUAUAGGUUUAUUUGUAAGUUGCUCUGUUUCCCAGCCUUCCCACCAUUUGCUAAUCACUAUCCUCUCCCCACUUUCCACCCACCCUUUUUCUCUCAUCUUUCUUCACAAGAUUAGCGAUAUUUCCUCAAAAUAGCUGACGCCAGUAGCGGGCUUUGGCCCUCCGUCCUUUUUCAUUCUCAUCUUUCUUCACAAGAUAAACUAUAUCUUGACACAACCAUUUCUUGAGUAAGGACUCCUAGCACCCUUCUUAUGAGAGUUUUGGAUCAAGUUCCCAUCUGACAUAAAGCCAAUUGAGUAUUACUCCCCGCCAUUAGCAUUUGACUAGCGAUAGUGCUGGGCAAGUGAAGUAGCUAUUUUUCUUUGUAGCUAAAAGAGCUCUGCGUCUGAUAACAUUCUUCUACACAUCAUCUACAUUUCUGAUAUUUAUUUUAUGUGUGACUAAUGGUAUCAUCACACAUACAAAACUUAGAUUGUCGAGUUUGUUUCUGUUUUCACAUCCUACAUCAAACCCAUCAGCCUUGUGUGGUAGUUUCUAGAUCACUUCGCUUGACGUUUCUAAUGCUUAUGAUUUGGGACAAGAUAUUUUAAUCAUGUCAAGAUAAUUUAUAACUGAUCAUGCUUUUCCAGAUACACAACGAUUGCGCACUUCUAAUGCUUAUUAUGUCAAGUAACAAGACAAUCCGAUGGCAUGCAAUGCAACCACUUUUGCACUCGUUGCUGUAGAAUCUAGCCUUAAAAGGAAAAUGAUAAUUGCUCAUAUGCUCUCUGCUGAGACAUUGCUCUAUGUUAUGCAGUAUCUACCAAGGUUCCGGCCAGAGAACUUGGCUCACAACACGAAGUUAUUUGACCGAGUGAAUGAAAUUGCGCAAAGAAAGGGAUGCACCACAUCGCAGUUAGCCCUGGCCUGGGUAUACCACCAGCGUGAUGAUGUUUGCCCAAUUCCCGGCACGACCAAGAUCGAGAAUUUCAACCAGAACACUGGAGCUAUGUCAGUGAAGCUUACACCGGAAGAGAUGGCCGAGCUUGAAUCGAUUGCUUCUGCGGACAAUGUCAAGGGUGGCAGGUACGAUGGAAGCAUGUCUACAUGGGAAAACUCCGACACUCCACCCCUUUCUUCUUGGAAACCUGCCUAGAAGCGUGUCUGCUUCUGUUGCUGCAUCUUUGAUGUGCAGAGUUUGAGCAUUUGCCGCUGAAGUAAUUUGAGUUUAUGUUAUGUGGCUGUUAUAAGUACGUGUAAUAAGAGAGUGACUGUUUUCAUUUUGUACAUGUGAUAUUCACUAU
This 17195-nucleotide long non-coding RNA is filed under the name Eucalyptus grandis. Its description in RNAcentral is "long non-coding RNA (EGRA_LNC004551)". The record is from RNAcentral. Lineage: Eukaryota; Viridiplantae; Streptophyta; Magnoliopsida; Myrtales; Myrtaceae.